RNAcentral lists this transfer RNA (89 nucleotides) under Micromonospora sagamiensis. Its description in RNAcentral is "tRNA-Gly". Lineage: Bacteria; Bacillati; Actinomycetota; Actinomycetes; Micromonosporales; Micromonosporaceae. The record is from RNAcentral.
CGGGGCCGGCGCGGUCGGCGCGGCGGUCGUCCUGACCGCCUGCGGCGGUGACGACGAGCCGGCGGGUUCCGGCUCCGCGGCCCCGACCA